Molecule: transfer RNA, 68 nt
Filed under: Marmota monax (woodchuck)
Lineage: Eukaryota; Metazoa; Chordata; Mammalia; Rodentia; Sciuridae
Description: tRNA.Ala
Rfam family: tRNA (bases 5-65)
About the family: Transfer RNA (tRNA) molecules are approximately 80 nucleotides in length. Their secondary structure includes four short double-helical elements and three loops (D, anti-codon, and T loops). Further hydrogen bonds mediate the characteristic L-shaped molecular structure. tRNAs have two regions of fundamental functional importance: the anti-codon, which is responsible for specific mRNA codon recognition, and the 3' end, to which the tRNAs corresponding amino acid is attached (by aminoacyl-tRNA synthetases). tRNAs cope with the degeneracy of the genetic code in two manners: having more than one tRNA (with a specific anti-codon) for a particular amino acid; and 'wobble' base-pairing, i.e. permitting non-standard base-pairing at the 3rd anti-codon position.
Source: RNAcentral
GGAUUGUGGCUCAGCGGUAGAGCGCUCGUCUAGCACAUGCGAGGCCCUGGGUUCGAUCCUCAGCACCA